ACUACAAUAACUAGAGAGCUUCCCAUACUGGUUAAACAACGUUAAUGCUACCUGCUAAUGAAAUGAUGUUUACAGUGUAGAUUACAUGCUUUUGUCAAUUGUCUAUGCUACAAUACUUUCAUUCUCUGAAACAAAGCUCCUCCGGUAAAUUAAAUUGAAGGUGACACAACAAUGUGCGAAUUGUAAAAAGGCGUCUAAAUGUAUUAUUGCUAGAUAACUGUUGAAAAAUGUUCAUGUAGCACUCGUCCGAGCGUUUAAAAACAACUAAUACUUC
Schizosaccharomyces pombe (fission yeast) is the source of this 274-nucleotide non-coding RNA. The record is from the annotation of a GenBank genome assembly. NCBI's taxonomy places the organism in Eukaryota, Fungi, Ascomycota, Schizosaccharomycetes, Schizosaccharomycetales, Schizosaccharomycetaceae.